GAUCAUGGCUCAGAAUGAACGUUGGCGGCGUGGAUUAGGCAUGCAAGUCGAGCGAGAAUUUGCGAUUGGAAGCUUCGGCCGAAGAAAGUGAAGGAAAGCGGCAAACGGCGUAGUAAGGCGUAGGUACGUACCCUCGGGUCGGGAAUAGCCAUGGGAAACUGUGGGUAAUGCCCGAUAAUCUCUGCGGAGCAAAGGUGUGAUUCCGCCGGAGGAGCGGCUUACGUGAUAUUAGCUAGUUGGUGGGGUAAUGGCCUACCAAGGCAACGAUGUCUAGGGGGUGUGAGAGCAUGGCCCCCACGACCGGAACUGAGACACUGUCCGGACACCUACGGGUGGCUGCAGUCGAGAAUCUUCCGCAAUGGGCGAAAGCCUGACGGAGCGACGCCGCGUGGUGGAUGAAGGCCCUUGGGUUGUAAACACCUGUCAGAGGGGAUGAAAUCAUGGUUGGCAAUCCUUCCAUGUUGACAGAGCCUCAGAGGAAGCACGGGCUAAGUACGUG
RNAcentral lists this ribosomal RNA (499 nucleotides) under uncultured bacterium. RNAcentral describes it as "bacterial SSU rRNA". It matches the Rfam family "Bacterial small subunit ribosomal RNA", at positions 15 to 507 of the family's 1533-position model. The record is from RNAcentral.